AGCUCCAAUAGCGUAUAUUAAAGUUGUUGCGGUUAAAAGCUCGUAGUUGGAUCUCUGUUGAAGACGGCCGGUCCGCCUUUUGGGCGUGUAUCUGGUUCGGCUUUGGCAUCCUCUUGGAAGACGUGCUGCGCUUGAUUGCGUGGUGCGGAGUUCAAGACUUUUACUUGAGGAAAUUGGAGUGUUUACAGCAGGCAAACGCCCUGAACACAUUAGCAUGGAAUAAUAAUAUAGGACCUCGGUUCUAUUUUGUUGGUUUCUAGGACUGAGGUAAUGAUUAAUAGGGAUAAUUGGGGGCAUUCGUAUUAACGCGUCAGAGGUGAAAUUCUUGGAUUGCGUUACGACGAACUACUGCGAAAGCAUUUGCCAAGGAUGUUUUCA
This 378-nucleotide ribosomal RNA is filed under the name uncultured eukaryote. Its description in RNAcentral is "SSU rRNA". It matches the Rfam family "Eukaryotic small subunit ribosomal RNA", at positions 587 to 972 of the family's 1831-position model. The record is from RNAcentral.